This 56-nucleotide non-coding RNA is filed under the name Streptomyces pristinaespiralis ATCC 25486. Lineage: Bacteria; Bacillati; Actinomycetota; Actinomycetes; Kitasatosporales; Streptomycetaceae. The record is from RNAcentral.
CCCCUUAAGAAUUGAGCCAACACCCGGCAUGACCGCCGGGUGGUGACCCGAGGAGC